CAGGCUCAUAACCUGAAGGCCGCAGGUUCAAAUCCUGCCCCCGCAACCA
Molecule: transfer RNA, 49 nt
Filed under: Cereibacter sphaeroides
Lineage: Bacteria; Pseudomonadati; Pseudomonadota; Alphaproteobacteria; Rhodobacterales; Paracoccaceae
Description: Rhodobacter sphaeroides tRNA-Leu
Rfam family: tRNA
About the family: Transfer RNA (tRNA) molecules are approximately 80 nucleotides in length.
Source: RNAcentral